AUUGAACGCUGGCGGCAGGCCUAACACAUGCAAGUCGGACGGUAGCGCAGGGGAGCUUGCUCCUCGGGUGACGAGUGGCGGACGGGUGAGUAAUGUCUGGGGAUCUGCCCGAUAGAGGGGGAUAACCACUGGAAACGGUGGCUAAUACCGCAUAACGUCGCAAGACCAAAGAGGGGGACCUUCGGGCCUCUCACUAUCGGAUGAACCCAGAUGGGAUUAGCUAGUAGGCGGGGUAACGGCCCACCUAGGCGACGAUCCCUAGCUGGUCUGAGAGGAUGACCAGCCACACUGGAACUGAGACACGGUCCAGACUCCUACGGGAGGCAGCAGUGGGGAAUAUUGCACAAUGGGCGCAAGCCUGAUGCAGCCAUGCCGCGCGUAUGAAGAAGGCCUUCGGGUUGUAAAGUACUUUCAGCGGGGAGGAAGGCGAUGUGGUUAAUAACCGCGUCGAUUGACGUUACCCGCAGAAGAAGCACCGGCUAACUCCGUGCCAGCCGCCGCCGUAA
This 506-nucleotide ribosomal RNA is filed under the name uncultured bacterium. Its description in RNAcentral is "partial 16S ribosomal RNA". It matches the Rfam family "Bacterial small subunit ribosomal RNA", at positions 29 to 523 of the family's 1533-position model. The record is from RNAcentral.